Molecule: long non-coding RNA, 724 nt
Filed under: Pan troglodytes (chimpanzee)
Lineage: Eukaryota; Metazoa; Chordata; Mammalia; Primates; Hominidae
Description: lincRNA
Source: RNAcentral
UGAAGAUGAACCUAGCAGUAGUAUUUACACCACUUGUUGUGUGCCCACUGUGGGCCUGGCGCCAUGCCGAGUGCUCUACGGAUGUGAGAGAAACGGAGGCCCAGAAAGCAGAAAUGAUGUGUUAAGAUCACUCAUCAAGCUGAUGGUACAGAGAUGAGAACACUGAAGCAGUUUUUUCUAAAAAUAGCUGCCUGGCACAGUGGCUCACAUCUGUAGUCCCAGCACUUUGGGAGGCCAAGGCAGGUGGAUCACUUGAGGCCAGGAAUUCAAGACCAGCAUGGCCAACAUGUUUUCCAUCCUUCCUUCAGUGCUGGGAGAGAAAAGCAUACGACAUAAACAGGGAGGUCAAGCUCCACCACGCAGAUGAGGUGCAGGCCACCAGGCUUCCUCUGCCACAUCUCUUUCUGAAAAGGCAGCCUGUGCUGAGAAACCAUGACUGAGUAAGCCAAGCUUUGUUGGCCGCACCUGCCAAGCCACAGGGUGCCUCAGGCUUGGGGCAUCCCGGAGCCAGUUACAACCCAAGACUUCAGCCUUCUGGAAGGUGUUGGGUCAGCCACCCUGAAGGACGAUCCUGCCCAAGUGACACGCUUUGCUCUUCCUUCUCACCCAGGACUUCACAUUCACCCUUGCAAUCCAUGUGGGGACACUGUUGGAUAGGAGGCGUGGUCCCAGUGUGGUCUCCCUGUCUGGGCCUCUGCCUAUGCCAAAUGUUUGCCUUACGCUG